Molecule: long non-coding RNA, 370 nt
Filed under: Triticum aestivum (bread wheat)
Lineage: Eukaryota; Viridiplantae; Streptophyta; Magnoliopsida; Poales; Poaceae
Description: long non-coding RNA (TAES_LNC014151)
Source: RNAcentral
ACUAGCAACCUGCACUUCCCUCUCGUCUCCCACACUCACGCUCACACUCCCGGCUCACACUCAGCCAAACCGGCGGGCAGAGAAAGUUGGCAAUGGCGCCACGGGCUGCCACCGUCCUGCUCUGCACCGCGCUAAUCUGCCUCUCGGCGACGCACUCCCUCGCGCAGGCGCCCGCCCCGGCCGGCAACGCCCCGCCCAAGUCGCCCAACGCGACGCCGGCCCCCGCGGCGGCCGCGGCCACGCCCACUGCCUCCCCCGCCCCGCCCGCCGCCGACGCGUCCGCGCCACCCACUACCACCCCGUCUGCACCCGCGCCCAAGUCUUCCCAGGCCACCCCCGCGCCGACCACCACUCCCGCCACACCGGCNNN